This is a long non-coding RNA of Carassius carassius (crucian carp), 311 nucleotides long. RefSeq lists it as uncharacterized. The transcript has 3 exons. The record is from RefSeq and is a predicted model, not a curated record. Lineage: Eukaryota; Metazoa; Chordata; Actinopteri; Cypriniformes; Cyprinidae.
CAAAUAAAUAUUAGCUUGGGUGAUUUCAGAGUCAAUUAUGGAAGACGGCAUUUUGAUUUUAAGUUCAUAAAUGGAGUAUCGAAAAUACCUUACCACGGGUGCAGCAGUUCCUGCGCGAACAGCAUGUCGAUGGAAAAGGUCAGCGGCAUGUUCAGGCUCCCCAAGGAGAAAAAAAGUAUGUGUUUCUGCUGUUACCCUAAGUGAUCCUGCACGCAUCUCUUGUGGUCCUGCACUCGACUCCUGUCAUCCUGGUCCUGCACUCGACUCACUUAAUCCUGAUCCUGCACUUGUCUCCUGUGGUCCUGCACUGA